AGAAGAAGGAGUAAGAGCUCUUUGGAAGGGAGUUGGACCUGCUUUAGCUAGAGCUGGCACUUUGACUGCAUCUCAGUUGGCCACAUAUGAUGAAUCUAAGCAGGCACUAAUAAAGUAUACUCCCCUGGAGGAGGGAUUUCACCUUCAUCUCAUCUCAAGUACCAUCGCAGGGUCAGUAAGCACAGUUAUGACAGCACCAAUGGACAUGGUUAAAACCCGUCUUAUGUUGCAGAGAGAAUCAAAUUGUGCCGGACUGUACAGAAAUGGAUUGCACUGUGCAUAUCAGGUACUCCGCACUGAAGGUCCUUCUGGUCUUUACAAAGGUGGCUUUGCAAUAUUUGCAAGAUUGGCUCCACAAACCAUGAUUACUUUU
RNAcentral lists this unclassified non-coding RNA (373 nucleotides) under Hevea brasiliensis (rubber tree). Lineage: Eukaryota; Viridiplantae; Streptophyta; Magnoliopsida; Malpighiales; Euphorbiaceae. The record is from RNAcentral.